Molecule: microRNA, 22 nt
Filed under: Mus musculus (house mouse)
Lineage: Eukaryota; Metazoa; Chordata; Mammalia; Rodentia; Muridae
Description: mmu-miR-686
Gene: mmu-miR-686
Source: miRBase by way of RNAcentral
AUUGCUUCCCAGACGGUGAAGA